GCCGAUCAGGUGUUUUACAUAUCAAUUUUUCGUGUUGGGGUGGAUUGUGUGAUCGUUCGGUA
RNAcentral lists this transfer RNA (62 nucleotides) under Fasciolopsis buskii. RNAcentral describes it as "Fasciolopsis buski tRNA-Glu". The record is from RNAcentral. Lineage: Eukaryota; Metazoa; Platyhelminthes; Trematoda; Plagiorchiida; Fasciolidae.